Cyprinus carpio carpio is the source of this 890-nucleotide long non-coding RNA. The record is from Ensembl. Lineage: Eukaryota; Metazoa; Chordata; Actinopteri; Cypriniformes; Cyprinidae.
CUGAAUGCUUAUCUAAUCACGCCUCUCUUUCUUGUGUCAGGGUGCACCUUAUUACAUUAGCCAUGACAUGGAUCAGAGCACAUCUAAUUCAACUACGCGCACAAGAUGGACGUUAAAAAGCAACGACGUGUGGGACAGCCUGAAUCCAAAUCCUGCAGUGGUGGGUGGUAGCUCUGAAUGCUGAUUCUGGCAACGGCUGGACUCACAGGGAACAACUGGACAUCAGAAACAGAGGUACUCUGCGAUGCAUUUUAAAGGCAAAUAUAUGCAGAGGUGCUUCUCUCCCGCACCACACCGUGACUCAACUUUUGCAGGAGUUGUUCAGGAAACCUUAGAAAGAUGGUAAACCAUGCACAUCGGACAAGAAGCUCCAAGCUGCCAUGUUCUCAUGUUACAAGUGACAGUCUAAAAUUUAUUCACUGAAUCUAAUCAUCAUACAGGCGCAAACUUCACUUCAAGAAUGAAAAAAUGGGGGUCAAUGAGAUUUGUUAUAUAAACAAUGCAAAUGGAAAUGGUAAGGGCAAUCUAUCUUAUCUCUCCAUAUGCAGUAUGGACUUUACUCAGUCCACAGACAGACAAAUGCAUUAUUGAAAAAAAAUUUAUACACACUCUUCCAGCCUAGGGUGAAGUCAUUAUGUGCAUUAACAACGAUGUGAGACAAAUAUAAUGUAAUUUAAUGGAAAAAUAUGUGAGCGGCACGGCAGGAUUUUGAACAGCACUGCACAUCUUGUACAGCUUGUGUCCAACUUAUUCUUCUUAUUCUUCUCCCUCUUAAUAUUAAUGUUAAUAUAUUAACAAUGUGCAUGUCAAAAUAAAUACUUUCUCAAGAGGUGAAAGGAAAUGUCAUUCAUCAAACUGCCAGUAGCAAAUAAGUGGCAAACAGAUGUCUG